This 63-nucleotide transfer RNA is filed under the name Fukomys damarensis (Damara mole-rat). It matches the Rfam family "tRNA". From Rfam's summary of the family: Transfer RNA (tRNA) molecules are approximately 80 nucleotides in length. Their secondary structure includes four short double-helical elements and three loops (D, anti-codon, and T loops). Further hydrogen bonds mediate the characteristic L-shaped molecular structure. tRNAs have two regions of fundamental functional importance: the anti-codon, which is responsible for specific mRNA codon recognition, and the 3' end, to which the tRNAs corresponding amino acid is attached (by aminoacyl-tRNA synthetases). tRNAs cope with the degeneracy of the genetic code in two manners: having more than one tRNA (with a specific anti-codon) for a particular amino acid; and 'wobble' base-pairing, i.e. permitting non-standard base-pairing at the 3rd anti-codon position. Lineage: Eukaryota; Metazoa; Chordata; Mammalia; Rodentia; Bathyergidae. The record is from Rfam by way of RNAcentral.
GGGGAUGUAGCUCAGUGGUAGAGCAUUUGCCUCGCAUGCAUGAGGCCCUAGACUCAAUCCCCA